Zonotrichia albicollis (white-throated sparrow) is the source of this 1993-nucleotide long non-coding RNA. The record is from Ensembl. NCBI's taxonomy places the organism in Eukaryota, Metazoa, Chordata, Aves, Passeriformes, Passerellidae.
AUGUAUGUAGAUUUUUGUUGUCGUUGUUUCUUUGUGAUUAUUUUGAUUGUUUUACAUCCUGGGAGCAAGGGGGGCAGGACAGGUCCCUGCAGUGGGGCAGAGCUGCCCCGAGGAUGCCAAGGUGGCACGGAUGGCAGCUGGAUGGCUUCCUGCUCGGGUUUGGGGUAUUUUGGGCGAUUCCUGGCGUUUUCUGGGUUUAUGCAAACUGGGAUUCAUCCUCCCAUCGAGCUCUGCUGUACUGGGGUGGCUUUGUCCCCCCUGCUCUGGGUACCCUCCUUUGGGAUGUCACCCCUGCAGGGACCACUGGGGUCCCCUCCCGGUGCCACCACCGGUGCUGAGGGGACACCCCAACCUGAGCGGGGCUGGGCUGGGACACCCCGAGAGGGGAGGAAACAGAAAACAGCCCGGCCAUGGCUCGAGAUGCUCCUUGUGCUGCAGCGAGACGGCCCAGGGUACCAACAGGUACCCCCAGAGUACCCCCAGGUACCCCCAGGUACCCCCAGAGGUGCCCCCAGAGGUGCCCCCAGGGCAGGUGUGGGCAAUGGGGGGCAGGUGAAGGCACCUGGCCCCUCCUGGGCUGGAGACCCCAAAAACCCCUCCUGGCCACAGCCCAGCACCCCCUGGUCCAGUUGUGCACCCCCAGAGCAGGAGCCACCAUGGGACAGCCAAGGGUGGGGCCGGACCCCAAAUGUGGGUCCUGACCCCAAAGGUGACUCCUGACCCCAAAGGUUGGUCCUCACCCCAAAUGUGGGUCCUGACCCCAAAUGUGGGUCCUGAUCCCAAGGGUUGGGUCCAACCCCAAGGGUGACUCCUGACCCCAAAGGUGACUCCUGACCCAAAUGUGGGUCCUGACCCCAAAGGUGACUCCUGACCCCAAAGGUGACUCCUGACCCAAAUGCGGGUCCUGACCCCAAAGGUUGGUCCCGACCCCAAAUGUGGGUCCUGACCCCAAGGGUUGGUCCCAACCCCAAAGGUGACUCCUGACCCCAAAUGUGGGUCCUGAUCCCAAGGGUUGGGUCCUGACCCCAAAGGUGGGUCCUGACCCCAAAUGUGGGUCCUGACCCCAAAUGUGGGUCCCGACCCCAAAUGUGGGUCCCGACCCCCACUCCCAGCCCCAGCCUCCACCCCAGAGUGCUGUGGGUGAGCUCCCCCGGUUCCUACCAGCAGAGGUACCGUGCUGCUUCUCUGUUGCUGUUUUUUAACAUUUAUCUCUACCAAAAGAAGUGUCUACGCUGCAGGAUGGAGGAGGCUGAAGGAUAAUUAAUUAACAUUAAUUAAUGCUAAAUAUUGCAGGAUACAACUGACCUUGCUGGCUGGUUGAAGCCCUAGGUUUUGGAUUUACAGUGACAUGGAUAACAAGCCAUUCCCAGAUUUAUCCUCUCCCCUUUGGUGAGGUCCAGAGCAGCAUUUUGGAAUUUUUGUUCUGUUUCAGUGUGCAAAAAACCAUGGCUGUAUGGAAAAGAAAGUCAAAGUUGUUAAACAGACACACACAAUUCAUUCACCUGCUUGUUCUCUUGGGGGAUUUUGUGGUUUUAGAGUUACACUGAGGUUUUGUCGGGGUUAUUUUUUUGUUGUUGUUUUUCUUCUACUGGCAGGUUUAUGGAAGAUUCUCUAUGAACUGGGAGUACUGGUGCCGGGCAGGAGCAUCACUAAGGUUUCUCUCCCAAAUAUCCAAAGUACAGUGUGCGGUAGAUACUCAGUGGAGUGCCUCGAAUUUAUGGCUUAACACACCUCUGUGGACAGGUGACAGCGUGUCCCCUGGUUGUGGUUCCUCAUGCAUGGUCCCUGGUCAUGCCGUCAUGCAAAAAUCUGCAAAAAUCUGCAAAAAUCGCUUCUAGGCGUUAACGAGCACUUUGAUUUUAUUUCUGGGGGGGGAUCAGCCCGAGCUGGCUCCAGGCUGAAGGUACCCGAGUGCCCCAACUCCCAAACCAAGUAAAGCCCAUGGAGAAAGUAGAAUGCAAAUAAUAAAUCUCAAAUAAACUAUGGUAACUCA